AGUGAACGCUGGCGGUAGGCCUAACACAUGCAAGUCGAACGGCAGCACAGUAAGAGCUUGCUCUUACGGGUGGCGAGUGGCGGACGGGUGAGGAAUACAUCGGAAUCUACUUUUUCGUGGGGGAUAACGUAGGGAAACUUACGCUAAUACCGCAUACGACCUACGGGUGAAAGCAGGGGAUCUUCGGACCUUGCGCGAUUGAAUGAGCCGAUGUCGGAUUAGCUAGUUGGCGGGGUAAAGGCCCACCAAGGCGACGAUCCGUAGCUGGUCUGAGAGGAUGAUCAGCCACACUGGAACUGAGACACGGUCCAGACUCCUAAGGGAGGCAGCAGUGUGGAAUAUUGGACAAUGGGCCCAAGCCUGAUCCAGCCAUACCGCGUCGGUAAAGAAGGCCUUCGGGUUGUAAAACCCUUUUGUUGGGAAAGAAAAGCAGCAAGUUAAUACCCCGCUGUUCUGACGGUACCCAAAGAAUAAGCACCGGCUAACUUCGUG
This 492-nucleotide ribosomal RNA is filed under the name uncultured bacterium. RNAcentral's name for it is "partial 16S ribosomal RNA". It matches the Rfam family "Bacterial small subunit ribosomal RNA", at positions 29 to 507 of the family's 1533-position model. The record is from RNAcentral.